Molecule: ribosomal RNA, 1516 nt
Filed under: metagenome
Description: bacterial SSU rRNA
Rfam family: Bacterial small subunit ribosomal RNA
Source: RNAcentral
AGAGUUUGAUCAUGGCUCAGGACGAACGCUGGCGGCGUGCUUAACACAUGCAAGUCGAACGAGAGGACAAGAGAAGCUUGCUUCUUUUGGAAUCGAGUGGCAAACGGGUGAGUAACACGUAAACAACCUGCCUUCAGGAUGGGGACAACAGACGGAAACGACUGCUAAUACCGAAUACGCUUGGAAGACCGCAUGAUCUUCCAAGGAAAGGGUGGCCUCUACCUGUAAGCUAUCGCCUGAAGAGGGGUUUGCGUCUGAUUAGGCAGUUGGUGAGGUAACGGCCCACCAAACCUACGAUCAGUAGCCGGUCUGAGAGGAUGAACGGCCACACUGGAACUGAGACACGGUCCAGACUCCUACGGGAGGCAGCAGUGGGGAAUCUUCCGCAAUGGGCGAAAGCCUGACGGAGCAACGCCGCGUGAGUGAUGACGGCCUUCGGGUUGUAAAGCUCUGUGAUCGGGGACGAACGGUCCGUAAGUCAAUACCUUAUGGAAGUGACGGUACUCAACAAGGAAGUGACGGCUAACUACGUGCCAGCAGCCGCGGUAAAACGUAGGUCACAAGCGUUGUCCGGAAUUACUGGGUGUAAAGGGAGCGCAGGCGGGAAGACAAGUUGGAAGUGAAAUCCAUGGGCUCAACCCAUGAACUGCUUUCAAAACUGCUUUUCUUGAGUAGUGCAGAGGUAGGCGGAAUUCCCGGUGUAGCGGUGGAAUGCGUAGAUAUCGGGAGGAACACCAGUGGCGAAGGCGGCCUACUGGGCACCAACUGACGCUGAGGCUCGAAAGUGUGGGUAGCAAACAGGAUUAGAUACCCUGGUAGUCCACACUGUAAACGAUGAUUACUAGGUGUUGGAGGAUUGACCCCUUCAGUGCCGCAGUUAACACAAUAAGUAAUCCACCUGGGGAGUACGACCGCAAGGUUGAAACUCAAAGGAAUUGACGGGGGCCCGCACAAGCAGUGGAGUAUGUGGUUUAAUUCGACGCAACGCGAAGAACCUUACAAAGUCUUGACAUCCUGCGACGGUUCUGGAAACAGAACUUUCCUUCGGGACGCAGAGACAGGUGGUGCAUGGUUGUCGUCAGCUCGUGUCGUGAGAUGUUGGGUUAAGUCCCGCAACGAGCGCAACCCUUAUGGUCAGUUACUACGCAAGAGGACUCUGGCCAGACUGCCGUUGACAAAACGGAGGAAGGUGGGGAUGACGUCAAAUCAUCAUGCCCUUUAUGACUUGGGCUACACACGUACUACAAUGGUGUUAAACAAAGAGAAGCAAGACCGCGAGGUGGAGCAAAACUCAGAAACAACGUCCCAGUUCGGACUGCAGGCUGCAACUCGCCUGCACGAAGUCGGAAUUGCUAGUAAUCGCAGAUCAGCAUGCUGCGGUGAAUACGUUCCCGGGCCUUGUACACACCGCCCGUCACACCAUGAGAGCCGGGGGGACCCGAAGUCGGUAGUCUAACCGCAAGGAGGACGCCGCCGAAGGUAAAACUGGUGAUUGGGGUGAAGUCGUAACAAGGUA